GACGAACGCUGGCGGCGUGCCUAAUACAUGCAAGUUGAGCGAUGAAGAUUGGUGCUUGCACCAAUUUGAAGAGCAGCGCACGGGUGAGUAACGCGUGGGGAAUCUGCCUUUGAGCGGGGGACAACAUUUGGAAACGAAUGCUAAUACCGCAUAACAACUUUAAACAUAAGUUUUAAGUUUGAAAGAUGCAAUUGCAUCACUCAAAGAUGAUCCCGCGUUGUAUUAGCUAGUUGGUGAGGUAAAGGCUCACCAAGGCGAUGAUACAUAGCCGACCUGAGAGGGUGAUCGGCCACAUUGGGACUGAGACACGGCCCAAACUCCUACGGGAGGCAGCAGUAGGGAAUCUUCGGCAAGAGGCGAAAGUCUGACCGAGCAACGCCGCGUGAGUGAAGAAGGUUGUCGGAUCGUAAAAAUCUGUUGGUAGAGAAGAACGUUGGUGAGAGUGGAAAGCUCAUCAAGUGACGGUAACUACCCAGAAAGGGACGGCUAACUACGUG
Molecule: ribosomal RNA, 497 nt
Filed under: uncultured bacterium
Lineage: Bacteria
Description: partial 16S ribosomal RNA
Rfam family: Bacterial small subunit ribosomal RNA
Source: RNAcentral